This 460-nucleotide ribosomal RNA is filed under the name uncultured bacterium. RNAcentral's name for it is "partial 16S ribosomal RNA". It matches the Rfam family "Bacterial small subunit ribosomal RNA", at positions 338 to 795 of the family's 1533-position model. The record is from RNAcentral.
CCUACGGGGUGCAGCAGUGAGGAAUAUUGGUCAAUGGGCGAGAGCCUGCACCAGCCAAGUCGCGUGAAGGAUGACGGCCCUACGGGUUGUAAACUUAUUUUGUCAGGGAGCAAUUGAGUCCACGUGUGGUCUUAGCGAGCGUACCUGCAGAACAAGCAUCGGCUAACUCCGUGCCAGCAGCCGCGGAAAUACGGAGGAUGCGAGCGUUAUCCGGAUUUAUUGGGUUUAAAGGGUGCGUAGGCGGAAUAUCAAGUCAGCGGUAAAAAUUCGGGGCUCAACCCCGUCGUGACGUUGAAACUGAUGUUCUUGAGUGGGCGAGAAGUAUGCGGAAUGCGUGGUGUAGCGGUGAAAUGCAUAGAUAUCACGCAGAACUCCGAUUGCGAAGGCAGCAUACCGGCGCCCAACUGACGCUGAAGCACGAAAGCGUGGGUAUCGAACAGGAUUAGAUACCCUAGUAGUA